Molecule: long non-coding RNA, 1173 nt
Filed under: Anolis carolinensis (green anole)
Lineage: Eukaryota; Metazoa; Chordata; Lepidosauria; Squamata; Anolidae
Description: lncRNA (ENSACAG00000043344.1)
Source: RNAcentral
AUGUACCUGUGUAUCUGUAUCUAUACAUUAAUUUUAUAUACGAAUUUGUCCUCAUAUGUUCGCAGGUCUUUGCAAAUCCUUUAUACAUAUAGAUCCAUGUACCUGUGUAUCUGUAUCUAUACAUUAAUUUUAUAUACGAAUUUGCCCUCAUAUGUUCGCAGGUCUUUGCAAAUCCUUUAUACAUAUAGAUCCAUGUACCUGUGUAUCUGUAUCUAUACAUUAAUUUUAUAUACGAAUUUGCCCUCAUAUGUUUGCAGGUCUUUGCAAAUCCUUUAUACAUAUAGAUCCAUGUACCUGUGUAUCUGUAGCCAUACAUACAUAUUAUUUUUAUAUAUGAAUUUGUCCUCAUAUGUUUGCAGGUCUUUGCAAAUCCUUUAUACAUAUAGAUCCAUGUACCUGUGUAUCUGUAUCUAUACAUUAAUUUUAUAUACGAAUUUGCCCUCAUAUGUUUGCAGGUCUUUGCAAAUCCUUUAUACAUAUAGAUCCAUGUACCUGUGUAUCUGUAUCUAUACAUUAAUUUUAUAUACGAAUUUGCCCUCAUAUGUUUGCAGGUCUUUGCAAAUCCUUUAUACAUAUAGAUCCAUGUACCUGUGUAUCUGUAUCUAUACAUUAAUUUUAUAUACGAAUUUGCCCUCAUAUGUUUGCAGGUCUUUGCAAAUCCUUUAUACAUAUAGAUCCAUGUACCUGUGUAUCUGUAGCCAUACAUAUACAUUAAUUUUAUAUACGAAUUUGCCCUCAUAUGUUUGCAGGUCUUUGCAAAUCCUUUAUACAUAUAGAUCCAUGUACCUGUGUAUCUGUAGCCAUACAUAUACAUUAAUUUUAUAUACGAAUUUGCCCUCAUAUGUUUGCAGGUCUUUGCAAAUCCUUUAUACAUAUAGAUCCAUGUACCUGUGUAUCUGUAGCCAUACAUAUACAUUAAUUUUAUAUACGAAUUUGCCCUCAUAUGUUUGCAGGUCUUUGCAAAUCCUUUAUACAUAUAGAUCCAUGUACCUGUGUAUCUGUAGCCAUACAUACACAUUAUUUUUACAUAUGAAUUUACCCUCAUAUGUUUGCAAGUCUCUGCAAAUUUUAUAUAGAUAUAAUUAUCUAUAUAAAGAGAGAUGUCUGGAUAGAUAUGAAUAUAUUCUUACCUACCUAUAUAUAGGGCUUGCAAAUAUUACAGGGGGGAAAUGA